Unclassified non-coding RNA from Megachile rotundata (alfalfa leafcutting bee), 1136 nucleotides. Lineage: Eukaryota; Metazoa; Arthropoda; Insecta; Hymenoptera; Megachilidae. The record is from RefSeq and is a predicted model, not a curated record.
UGUAUCAAACUCUGUUUUUUGGCCAUAAUUACAAUGGAAGUAUUUCUUGACAAAUAUAUUAGAACAAUUAAAUAAAUAAUAUAAUUCGAAGAAUAUCUGGGAACUGUUUGUCAGAAAACACAUACAUUGUAAUCAUAACUCUACUUGACAUGUUGUAAUGCUUGCAGUGAUUGCAGAAUAAAGAGUAGCCACUAUUGCUUCUUGAUACUUAAUUCUUUAUUCCACUUUCAGAUGGCGAAGUGAUAAGAAAACAAGUUAAAUGUCAUUGAUUCAGUUAUUCAUAUAAGUCACAUUUUUGCAAAAGUUGAAAAGUUAUUGUGAUCAACGAUUAUUCGAUAGAAAUGACGAGUAUUACAAUAUCGGCAGUUCGAACACGAACUAGUAUUCUUGACAAAUCAUUAAGUAAAGGCAAAGGAGAGGUUAGCUUAAGUUGUUUUGCCCUGUUAUUUUCAGAACUAGUACAGUACUGUCAAAAUCGAGUUUACACUGUACCAGAGUUACAAAAUAAAUUGGCAGAAUUAGGUGCAGAGGUUGGUCACAGAAUAACAGAUUUACUCGUUGUUCGAGAAAAAGGUGGAAAACGUGAGAUAAAACUAUUGAACAUCUUGUUGUUUAUUAAAAGUACAGUAUGGAAAUCAUUAUUUGGUCGGGAGGCUGACAAAUUAGAACAUGCAAAUGAUGAUGAACGUACUUAUUACAUCAUAGAAAAAGAAGCUUUAGUAAACAAGUUUAUAUCAGUUCCAAAAGAUAAAGGAAGUUUGAAUUGUGCCUCUUUUAUUGCUGGAAUAGUUGAAGCUAUUCUUUGUGACUGUGGUUUUACAGCAAAAGUAACUGCACACUGGCAUAAAGGAACAACGUAUAUGGUGAAAUUCGAUGAUGCAGUUGUUACUCGAGAUAAGCAGCUUGAAGAUCGAUAAUUUAAUAUCCGUUGGGAACCAUAGAAGUCAAAACAGUAGUGAAUCACGUAGUAGGGGAGAAUAUACAAUAUGGACAAAAGAGAUGCGCUCUUAACAGUCCAUUAGUAGUCCGUCGAGUCGACCUUAGCGCAACGUAUCUUCUGUUACGUUGCGAGUCAUACUUCCUCCUGACAAUUCUCUAACAAGUAUUUUAUAGAAUUGAUUCAGUAUAAAAAUCAU